UACGGGGGGGGUAAGCGUUGUUCGGAAUUACUGGGCGUAAAGGGCGCGUAGGCGGCCAGCACAAGUCAGUUGUGAAAUCUCCGAGCUUAACUCGGAAAGGUCAACUGAUACUGUGCGGCUAGAGUGCGGAAGGGGCAACUGGAAUUCUUGGUGUAGCGGUGAAAUGCGUAGAUAUCUGGAGGAAUACCGGUGGCGAAGGCGGCGUUCUGGACUGCAACUGACACUGAUGAACGAAAGCCAGGGGAGCAAACGGG
This 254-nucleotide ribosomal RNA is filed under the name uncultured bacterium. RNAcentral describes it as "partial 16S ribosomal RNA". It matches the Rfam family "Bacterial small subunit ribosomal RNA", at positions 524 to 776 of the family's 1533-position model. The record is from RNAcentral.